AUACGGAGGGUGCAAGCGUUGUUCGGAAUCACUGGGCGUAAAGGGCGCGCAGGCGGUUUGGUAAGUCAGAUGUGAAAGCCCACGGCUCAACCGUGGAAGUGCAUUUGAAACUGCCAGACUUGAGUACCAGAGGGGAAAGUGGAAUUCCCGGUGUAGAGGUGAAAUUCGUAGAUAUCGGAGGAAUACCGGUGGCGAAGGCGACUUUCUGGCUGGAUACUGACGCUGAGGCGCGAAAGCGUGGGGAGCAAACAGGAUUAGAAACCCUAGUAGUCC
This 273-nucleotide ribosomal RNA is filed under the name uncultured bacterium. Its description in RNAcentral is "partial 16S ribosomal RNA". It matches the Rfam family "Bacterial small subunit ribosomal RNA", at positions 523 to 796 of the family's 1533-position model. The record is from RNAcentral.